Bison bison bison is the source of this 123-nucleotide small nuclear RNA. NCBI's taxonomy places the organism in Eukaryota, Metazoa, Chordata, Mammalia, Artiodactyla, Bovidae. The record is from Ensembl.
GUGUUGUACCAAAGGAAAGGUAGCAACUCCACUUGAUAAAGACAGAAGAGGCUCUAGGGCCUGACAACAUGUAUAUGGUUAAGGCACUGCCACCUACUUCACUGUAUCUAACCAUCAAGUUUU